UGAGUUUGAUCCUGGCUCAGGACGAACGCUUGCGGCGUGCCUAAGAAAUGCAAGUCGAACGGGGCGGGGCUUCGGCCCUGCCUAGUGGCGAACGGUCGCGUAACACGUAAGCAACCUGCCCGGAAGUGGGGGACAACAGCCCGAAAGGGUUGCUAAUACCGCAUGUGGCCCGGGGGCGGCAUCGCCCCCUGUCCAAAGCCCAGUGAUGGGCGCUUCCGGAUGGGCUUGCGGCCUAUCAGCUCGUUGGCGGGGUAACGGCCCACCAAGGCUUCGACGGGUAGCUGGUCUGAGAGGAUGUCCAGCCGGAUUGGGACUGAGAUACGGCCCAGACUCCUACGGGGGGCAGCAAUUAGGAAUCUUGCGCAAUGGGGGCAACCCUGACGCAGCGACGUCGCGUGGGGGAGGAAGGCCUUCGGGUCGUAAACCCCUUUUCUGGGGGAAGAAGGAUGUGACGGUACCCCAGGAAUAAGCCCCGGCUAACUACGUGCCAGCAGCCACGGUAAUACGUAGGGGGCGAGCGUUGUCCGAAGUUACUGGGCGUAAAGCGCGCGUAGGCGGCUAUGCAAGUCCGGGGUGAAAGGUUCAGCGCUCAACGCGAACAGUGCCCUGGAGACUGCGUGGCUUGAGUCCGGGAGGGGGCAGUGGAAUUCCUGGUGUAGCGGUGAAAUGCGUAGAUAUCAGGAGGAACACCGAUGGCGAAGGCAGCUGCCUGGCCCAGGACUGACGCUGAGGCGCGAAAGCGUGGGGAGCGAACGGGAUUAGAUACCCCGGUAGUCACGCCGUAAACGAUGAGUGCCAGGUGUCGGGGGUAUCGACCCCCCCCGGUGCCGUCGCUAACGCAUUAAGCACUCCGCCUGGGGAGUACGGCCGCAAGGUUGAAACUCAAAGGAAUUGACGGGGGCCCGCACAAGCGGUGGAGCAUGUGGAUUAAUUCGUCACUAACCGAAGAACCUUACCCAGGCUUGACAUCGCGUGAAAGGCCGUGAAAGCGGUCCCUCCCCGCAAGGGGACACAAAGACAGGUGUUGCAUGGCUGUCGUCAGCUCGUGUCGUGAGAUGUUGGGUUAAGUCCCGCAACGAGCGCAACCCUCACCGUAUGUUGGCAGCGUCGAGUCGGCCACUCUUACGGAACUGCCCGUGCAAGCGGGAGGAAGGUGGGGACGACGUCAAGUCGGCAUGGCCCUUACGCCUGGGGCUUCACACAUGCUACAACGGGCGGCACAGAGGGCAGCGAUCCCGCGAGGGGGAGCGAAUCCCAAAAAUCCGCCCUCAGUUCGGAUUGCAGGCUGCAACUCGCCUGCAUGAAGCCGGAAUCGCUAGUAACCGCAGGUCAGCUAAACUGCGGUGAAUCCGUUCCCGGGCCUUGUACACACCGCCCGUCAAGUCACCUGAAUUGUCUGCACCCGACGCCGACGGCCUAACCAGCGAUGGGGGGAGUCGUCUAAGGUGUGGGGAGUAAGGGGGACUAAGUCGUAACAAG
RNAcentral lists this ribosomal RNA (1479 nucleotides) under uncultured bacterium. Its description in RNAcentral is "16S ribosomal RNA". It matches the Rfam family "Bacterial small subunit ribosomal RNA". The record is from RNAcentral.